Long non-coding RNA from Camelus dromedarius (Arabian camel), 1588 nucleotides. RefSeq lists it as uncharacterized. Lineage: Eukaryota; Metazoa; Chordata; Mammalia; Artiodactyla; Camelidae. The transcript has 3 exons. The record is from RefSeq and is a predicted model, not a curated record.
CUCCACCGUCAGGAGGUGGAGUCUAUUUUCCCAACCCUUGGAUCCCUGCUGGCCUUGGGAUGCUGGGGGUGUCACCAGAGAAUAGGUUCUUGUCUGGCACAGGAAGGAAUUCAAGAGCGAGGCAUAGUAAAGUGAAAGGAGGCCUUGCAUCUUGCAUCAUGGAACACUGCCGCCACCUGACCCCGCCCGGGUCAGAGUCCACCAGGAUGGGAGACCAUAUGGCGGGAGCCCCCUCCCCACCCCGCAAUUCCUGCCAUCCCACAUGAGGCCCCUGACGUGAGUGAGCGAGCCCUGUCAACCCCAUGCAGAGCAAAGGUGAACCGCCCCAGCUGAGCCCAGGGGCUCCUGCACAGAGGGAUGCAGGUGGGAGGAAGCUGCUAGGUUUCGCGGUGGCUAGUUACUUGGCGAAAGUUACCCGGAAAACUAACCUGCCUUGUUUCCUGCUCAGCCUGGUUCCCCAGCCUUCCCAUCCCUUCUGCAAGCUUCCUAAUUCCUUCCACAAAUCCCUUUUCUGCUUACGUUCACCAGAGUUGGUUUCUGUUGUUUGCAACUUAGAACACUGGCUGCUAUAGAAAUCGGUACUGGAAGUGGAUUUCAGGUACUGGACCCUCAAAGGGUGGACUGAAAACAGAGAACAUACAAUUUGUACACACCCUGCAAAGCGGCUGCAGCUAAAGAGAUUGAGGAAGGGCUGGCGGGGUCUAGCUCAGGGGCAGAGCGCAUGCACGAGGCCUGGGGGUCAAUCCCCAGUACCUCCAUUAACAACAGCAAUAGCUACAGAAAGACUGAGGACAGAGGCGCUGGUUAGGACGUGAAGCCACCGACUCUCACGCACGCUGCCGGGGUGGGGGCGAGCACGCGCUGGGAGGGCGUUCGGCCUUAUCCUCGGGAGCGAAAAGCACGACCCAGCAAGUCCACUCCGAGGCAUACGCCCAAGAGAAGUGAGCCCACACGCCCACCAGAGGACGUCGCAAGAAUGCUCACAGAAACUUUACCCGGACGCCAGAGACACUGGAGGUCGUCCCGAGGCCCGUCAGCUGUAGAGCAGGUCGGUGAAUCGUGGCAAAUUCAGACAACGGAGCUCCGCUUUGCUGCAGGGAGCAGCACGCACGGAUCUCACGGGCCAGACGCCGAGCCAGGCGAGGCUGACGCGGACGGGCACGCACCGCCUGCCUCCUCACGUGAAGUUCAAGGAGGGGAGAGACUAAUCUCCACUGACAGAGUGGUUGACUGAAGACUGGACUCCCUGGUGGCCCAUGAAUUCCUCGAUACAAUGUAGAGAACGGAAUCCAGCAGCCUGGACCCUUGAAGAACGUACUGUGUGCAGUCAGUCUUCAGCCCCUAAUCUGGAAAGACCCAGACAGCUCUCCUGCCCCGAGACCCAGGGAAAUGCACUGUGGACGGAGGUACCAGCCUCUUAGAAAGUGCCCUUGUGGCUUAUCUCUGUAGGUCAGAGAGGGUCCCCACCCCAAGACACUGUCAUUGAAAGGGCUUCCUGAUUGUAAUGGGGAGGAUGUGGCUAGCUGCCCACGAGGUGCUCCGGGCCAGAUAAGCAGCUUGCAAAGCUCUUAUUUGAUUUGUAUCAUUA